AAAAAAGGUAAGCUACUAAGAGCGAAUGGUGGAUGCCUUGACUGGUAAAGGCGAUGAAGGACGUACUAGACUGCGAUAAGCUACGGGGAGCUGUCAAGAAGCUUUGAUCCGUAGAUUUCCGAAUGGGGCAACCCAAUGUAUAGAGAUAUACAUUACCUAUAUAGGAGCGAACGAGGGGAAUUGAAACAUCUUAGUACCCUCAGGAAAAGAAAUCAAUAGAGAUUGUGUCAGUAGCGGCGAGCGAAAGCGCAAGAGGGCAAACCCAGUGCUUGCACUGGGGGUUGUAGGACUGCAAUGUGCAAGAGCUGAGUUUAGCAGAACAUUCUGGAAAGUAUAGCCAUAGAGGGUGAUAGUCCCGUAUGCGAAAAACAAAGCUUAGCUAGCAGUAUCCUGAGUAGGGCGGGACACGAGGAAUCCUGUCUGAAUCCGGGUCGACCACGAUCCAACCCUAAAUACUAAUACCAGAUCGAUAGUGCACAAGUACCGUGAGGGAAAGGUGAAAAGAACUGAGGUGAUCAGAGUGAAAUAGAACCUGAAACCAUUUGCUUACAAUCAUUCAGAGCACUAUGUAGCAAUACAGUGUGAUGGACUGCCUUUUGCAUAAUGAGCCUGCGAGUUGUGGUGUCUGGCAAGGUUAAGCAAACGCGAAGCCGUAGCGAAAGCGAGUCUGAAUAGGGCGCUUAGUCAGAUGCUGCAGACCCGAAACGAAGUGAUCUAUCCAUGAGCAAGUUGAAGCUAGUGUAAGAACUAGUGGAGGACUGAACCCAUAGGCGUUGAAAAGCCCCGGGAUGACUUGUGGAUAGGGGUGAAAGGCCAAUCAAACUUCGUGAUAGCUGGUUCUCUCCGAAAUAUAUUUAGGUAUAGCGUUGUGUCGUAAUAUAAGGGGGUAGAGCACUGAAUGGGCUAGGGCAUACACCAAUGUACCAAACCCUAUCAAACUCCGAAUACCUUAUAUGUAAUCACAGCAGUCAGGCGGCGAGUGAUAAAAUCCGUCGUCAAGAGGGAAACAACCCAGACUACCAGCUAAGGUCCCUAAAUCUUACUUAAGUGGAAAACGAUGUGAAGUUACUUAAACAACCAGGAGGUUGGCUUAGAAGCAGCCAUCCUUUAAAGAAAGCG
RNAcentral lists this ribosomal RNA (1119 nucleotides) under Campylobacter jejuni. Its description in RNAcentral is "partial 23S ribosomal RNA". It matches the Rfam family "Bacterial large subunit ribosomal RNA", at positions 1 to 1134 of the family's 2925-position model. The record is from RNAcentral. Lineage: Bacteria; Pseudomonadati; Campylobacterota; Epsilonproteobacteria; Campylobacterales; Campylobacteraceae.